CAUUACUUAUCUUGUUGUUAUAUAGUAGUAACUAGUAAGUAUUGAAUAUAUAAAUAAAAUGAAUGAAAAUGGAAUGUGUUUUAUAAGUAAAUCAAAAAAUGCCAGGGUCUUGUCAUUAAUGACAGAGAGAGGAGGAGGAUAUUGCAUACUGAUAGUAAAGAUUUCCAAAGAAAAUGGUUUGCUUCUUCUCGGUGGGCUGAAGCUGCUCAAUUCGCACUUUCUGCAAGUCUUUCCUCAUCACAAAGUGACCUGCAACAACUGGAAAAUAAUGCCGAGAACAGCAUCCUUCAGAAAACGAAGGAUGCAGUUGUCACUCUGCAGGAUGUUUUGGAAGGAAAACAUGAUGAGGCUAUAGAGAAUACCUUAAAUGAAUACCAAGUUCCCAGAGAUCGAUGGUGGUCGGCUUUCUACAAAGUGAUUGAAGGUAUCACUCUCAUUUUCAUGAC
This 446-nucleotide long non-coding RNA is filed under the name Zostera marina. RNAcentral describes it as "long non-coding RNA (ZMAR_LNC003280)". The record is from RNAcentral. Lineage: Eukaryota; Viridiplantae; Streptophyta; Magnoliopsida; Alismatales; Zosteraceae.